AGAAUCAACGCUGGCGGCGUGCCUAACACAUGCAAGUCGAACGAGAAAGGGACUUCGGUCCUGAGUAUAGUGGCGCACGGGUGAGUAACACGUGAAUGAUCUACCUCCGAGUGGGGAAUAACCAAAAGAAAUUUUGGCUAAUACCGCAUAACACUUACGAGUCAAAGCAGCAAUGCGCUUGGAGAGGAGUUCGCGGCAGAUUAGUUAGUUGGCGGGGUAAUGGCCCACCAAGACGAUGAUCUGUAUCCGGCCUGAGAGGGCGCACGGACACACUGGAACUGAAACACGGUCCAGACUCCUACGGGAGGCAGCAGUGGGGAAUUUUGCGCAAUGGGGGAAACCCUGACGCAGCAACGCCGCGUGGAGGAUGAAGUAUCUUGGUACGUAAACUCCUUUCGAUGGGGAAGAUAAUGACGGUACCCAUAGAAGAAGCCCCGGCUAACUUCGCGCCAGCAGCCGC
Molecule: ribosomal RNA, 460 nt
Filed under: uncultured bacterium
Lineage: Bacteria
Description: SSU rRNA
Rfam family: Bacterial small subunit ribosomal RNA
Source: RNAcentral